AAAAAAUAUUAAUUAUAGCUCAAUUAAUCAACAAUUAAUCUUUUUCUAACUCUUUUGCUUACAAUGACUAAAAGAAAGGAAAGGGGGAAAUCAAAUUAUUUUCCUUUUCCAUCUUUUGGAGACUUCUAACGAAACACAAGUGAGAUUGAUUCAACUCGAAUGAAUGGGUUGUCAUGUUUCUAAAAAUCCAGUCAACCUAAGAAUUGAAUUCCUAACUUGACUCAAAUCCCUUCCCUUUAAUGUUCUUCCAUUUCCAGUGCAAACGGAGAACGCCAUUUUCCCUUCAAUUCUCCUCCCAACUAGAACAUGCGGCGGAAUCAAUUGAUCUUCUCCUUCGAAUUCUUCCUCAAACUCAUCACUAUCCGAGAACUGGAACACAUUGCUGGGGAUAUUCACAGGCAAGGAAGAACUCGAUUUCUUCUGCUUCUUUUUGUUGCCUUUCCGAUUACUAGUAUUUUCACGAUCCAUUUGUUUGAAUCCGAAGUGAUGGUGGUGGAGGAGGUGAUCUUGGUCGGAGAAGAUGAUAUCAGAUUCCUGGAACUCUUCGGCGGCCAUGUAACGUAAAAUUGAAGGAAAUGAAUAGCAGAGAUAGAAAUGAGAAUGGAACAGUAGAGAGAAGGAAAAGGGGAGAGAU
RNAcentral lists this unclassified non-coding RNA (634 nucleotides) under Hevea brasiliensis (rubber tree). The record is from RNAcentral. Lineage: Eukaryota; Viridiplantae; Streptophyta; Magnoliopsida; Malpighiales; Euphorbiaceae.